Molecule: ribosomal RNA, 467 nt
Filed under: uncultured bacterium
Lineage: Bacteria
Description: partial 16S ribosomal RNA
Rfam family: Bacterial small subunit ribosomal RNA
Source: RNAcentral
ACGCACGCUGGCGGCGUGCUUCACCCCUGCCAGUCGCACGGAAAGGCCCUGCUUUUGUGGGGUGCUCGAGUGGCGAACGGGUGAGUAACACGUGAGUAACCUGCCCUUGACUUUGGGAUAACUUCAGGAAACUGGGGCUAAUACCGGAUAGGAGCUCCUGCUGCAUGGUGGGGGUUGGAAAGUUUCGGCGGUUGGGGAUGGACUCGCGGCUUAUCAGCUUGUUGGUGGGGUAGUGGCUUACCAAGGCUUUGACGGGUAGCCGGCCUGAGAGGGUGACCGGCCACAUUGGGACUGAGAUACGGCCCAGACUCCUACGGGAGGCAGCAGUGGGGAAUAUUGCACAAUGGGCGGAAGCCUGAUGCAGCAACGCCGCGUGCGGGAUGACGGCCUUCGGGUUGUAAACCGCUUUCGCCUGUGACGAAGCGUGAGUGACGGUAAUGGGUAAAGAAGCACCGGCUAACUACGCG